UGGGGAAUAUUGGACAAUGGGGGAAACCCUGAUCCAGCGACGCCGCGUGUGUGAAGAAGGCCUGCGGGUUGUAAAGCACUUUCGGUGGGAACGAAAUAUGCCGGGCUAAUACCCCGGUAGGCUGACGUUACUCAAUGAAGAAGCACCGGCUAACUCUGUGCCAGCAGCCGCGGUAAUACAGAGGGUGCAAGCGUUAAUCGGAAUUACUGGGCGUAAAGCGUGCGUAGGUGGUUUGUUAAGUCAGGUGUGAAAUCCUCGGGCUCAACCCGGGAACUGCGCUUGAUACUGGCAGACUCGAGUGUGGUAGAGGAUAGUGGAAUUCCCGGUGUAGCGGUGAAAUGCGUAGAUAUCGGGAGGAACAUCAGUGGCGAAGGCGGCUAUCUGGACCAACACUGACACUGAGGUACGAAAGCGUGGGUAGCAAACAGGAUUAGAUACCCCAGUAGUCCCUGAGCGGGCUGGCAAGGCGCAU
Molecule: ribosomal RNA, 472 nt
Filed under: uncultured bacterium
Lineage: Bacteria
Description: bacterial SSU rRNA
Rfam family: Bacterial small subunit ribosomal RNA
Source: RNAcentral